RNAcentral lists this ribosomal RNA (878 nucleotides) under uncultured bacterium. RNAcentral describes it as "bacterial SSU rRNA". It matches the Rfam family "Bacterial small subunit ribosomal RNA", at positions 54 to 922 of the family's 1533-position model. The record is from RNAcentral.
CAUGCAAGUCGAGGGGAAACGACAUCGAAAGCUUGCUUUUGAUGGGCGUCGACCGGCGCACGGGUGAGUAACGCGUAUCCAACCUGCCCAUCACUUGGGGAUAACCUUGCGAAAGUAAGACUAAUACCCAAUGAUAUCUCUAGAAGGCAUCUGAAAGAGAUUAAAGAUUUAUCGGUGAUGGAUGGGGAUGCGUCUGAUUAGCUUGUUGGCGGGGUAACGGCCCACCAAAGCAACGAUCAGUAGGGGUUCUGAGAGGAAGGUCCCCCACAUUGGAACUGAGACACGGUCCAAACUCCUACGGGAGGCAGCAGUGAGGAAUAUUGGUCAAUGGACGAGAGUCUGAACCAGCCAAGUAGCGUGCAGGAUGACGGCCCUACGGGUUGUAAACUGCUUUUAUAAGGGAAUAAAGUGAGUCUCGUGAGACUUUUUGCAUGUACCUUAUGAAUAAGGACCGGCUAAUUCCGUGCCAGCAGCCGCGGUAAUACGGAAGGUCCGGGCGUUAUCCGGAUUUAUUGGGUUUAAAGGGAGCGUAGGCCGGAGAUUAAGCGUGUUGUGAAAUGUAGAUGCUCAACAUCUGCACUGCAGCGCGAACUGGUUUCCUUGAGUACGCACAAAGUGGGCGGAAUUCGUGGUGUAGCGGUGAAAUGCUUAGAUAUCACGAAGAACUCCGAUUGCGAAGGCAGCUCACUGGAGCGCAACUGACGCUGAAGCUCGAAAGUGCGGGUAUCGAACAGGAUUAGAUACCCUGGUAGUCCGCACGGUAAACGAUGGAUGCCCGCUGUUGGUCUGAAUAGGUCAGCGGCCAAGCGAAAGCAUUAAGCAUCCCACCUGGGGAGUACGCCGGCAACGGUGAAACUCAAAGGAAUUGACGGGGGCCC